AUCCUAGCCAUAAACGAUGAUAACUAGGUGUGGGAGGUAUCGACCCCUCCCGCGCCGUCGCUAACGCAUUAAGUUAUCCGCCUGGGGAGUACGGCCGCAAGGUUAAAACUCAAAGGAAUUGACGGGGGCCCGCACAAGCGGUGGAGCAUGUGGUUUAAUUCGACGCUACGCGAAGAACCUUACCUAGGCUUGAACCGCUAGUAGUAGCCUCUUUGAAAGGAGGGGCGACCCGCAAGGGAGCUAGCAGAGGUGCUGCAUGGCUGUCGU
Molecule: ribosomal RNA, 267 nt
Filed under: uncultured bacterium
Lineage: Bacteria
Description: partial 16S ribosomal RNA
Rfam family: Bacterial small subunit ribosomal RNA
Source: RNAcentral